AGUGAACGCUGGCGGUAGGCCUAACACAUGCAAGUCGAACGGCAGCACAGGAGAGCUUGCUCUCUGGGUGGCGAGUGGCGGACGGGUGAGGAAUACAUCGGAAUCUACUUUUUCGUGGGGGGUAACGGAGGGAAAGUUACGCUAAUACCGCAUACGACGUACGGGUGAAAGCAGGGGACCUUCCGGCCUUGCGCGAUUGAAUGAGCUGAUGUCGAAUUAGCUAGUUGGCGGGGUAAAGGCCCCCCAAGGCGACGAUCCGUAGCUGGUCUGAGAGGAUGAUCAGCCACACUGGAACUGAGACACGGUCCAGACUCCUACGGGAGGCAGCAGUGGGGAAUAUUGGACAAUGGGCGCAAGCCUGAUCCAGCCAUACCGCGUGGGUGAAGAAGGCCUUCGGGUUGUAAAGCCCUUUUGUUGGGAAAGAAAUCCAGCUGGCUAAUACCCGGUUGGGAUGACGGUACCCAAAGAAUAAGCACCGGCUAACUUCGUGCCAGCCGCCGCGGUAA
Molecule: ribosomal RNA, 506 nt
Filed under: uncultured bacterium
Lineage: Bacteria
Description: partial 16S ribosomal RNA
Rfam family: Bacterial small subunit ribosomal RNA
Source: RNAcentral